GCCUAACACAUGCAAGUCGAGCGGUAGCACAGGAGAGCUUGCUCUCCGGGUGACGAGCGGCGGACGGGUGAGUAAUGUCUGGGAAACUGCCUGAUGGAGGGGGAUAACUACUGGAAACGGUAGCUAAUACCGCAUAACGUCGCAAGACCAAAGUGGGGGACCUUCGGGCCUCAUGCCAUCAGAUGUGCCCAGAUGGGAUUAGCUAGUAGGUGGGGUAAUGGCUCACCUAGGCGACGAUCCCUAGCUGGUCUGAGAGGAUGACCAGCCACACUGGAACUGAGACACGGUCCAGACUCCUACGGGAGGCAGCAGUGGGGAAUAUUGCACAAUGGGCGCAAGCCUGAUGCAGCCAUGCCGCGUGUAUGAAGAAGGCCUUCGGGUUGUAAAGUACUUUCAGCGAGGAGGAAGGCAUUAAGGUUAAUAACCUUAGUGAUUGACGUUACUCGCAGAAGAAGCACCGGCUAACUCCGUGCCAGCAGCCGCGGUAAUACGGAGGGUGCAAGCGUUAAUCGGAAUUACUGGGCGUAAAGCGCACGCAGGCGGUUUGUUAAGUCAGAUGUGAAAUCCCCGGGCUCAACCUGGGAACUGCAUUUGAAACUGGCAAGCUUGAGUCUUGUAGAGGGGGGUAGAAUUCCAGGUGUAGCGGUGAAAUGCGUAGAGAUCUGGAGGAAUACCGGUGGCGAAGGCGGCCCCCUGGAC
RNAcentral lists this ribosomal RNA (699 nucleotides) under Raoultella sp. RNAcentral describes it as "bacterial SSU rRNA". It matches the Rfam family "Bacterial small subunit ribosomal RNA", at positions 46 to 734 of the family's 1533-position model. Lineage: Bacteria; Pseudomonadati; Pseudomonadota; Gammaproteobacteria; Enterobacterales; Enterobacteriaceae. The record is from RNAcentral.